CUACUUUUCAACUUUGCCUUUCCUCCUUGAGAAUCUACUGAACUAGAAAUGUGUCCUGCUCACAGACUGCGGCUUACCAGAGCCUUUGACUCCUCAGGGGUGGAGCAAAUGAUUUCCUUCUUGGACAAGGGCAAUCUGUGGCCAGUGUACAAGAGUUGCCAUGGCAACCCUGCAGCUGCGCUCUGCCUAGCAGAGACUCGGUCUUGUUAAUGACCAGUUCAGCAGUCCGCAGUGUUGGGAAACUGAAUCCAAUGUGCUUGGAGGAGGAACGUUGGGAAUUAUGAGUUAGCUGUCAAAAAAGAUACGUAAGUGAUGAAUCACUGAAUUCUACUCCUGAAAUCAUUAUUACACUAUAUGUUAACCAACCUGGAUUUAAAUAAAAUUUGAAAAAUUUUUUAAAGAUAAAAAGUUCUGUGACAUAAUCAUUUUUCUGGAAUAAUCUUUUAAAAUAAGGGUGAAUUUAUCCAUCGUACUCUCUGCCUAGAUUUUUCCUGCAUAGAUAUUGCUUGUCUAGCCUUACCUCAUUCUUCAGGUCUCAAUUUACUGCUUCCUCUAG
RNAcentral lists this long non-coding RNA (556 nucleotides) under Panthera leo (lion). RNAcentral's name for it is "lncRNA (ENSPLOG00000001736.1)". Lineage: Eukaryota; Metazoa; Chordata; Mammalia; Carnivora; Felidae. The record is from RNAcentral.